This 393-nucleotide ribosomal RNA is filed under the name uncultured bacterium. RNAcentral describes it as "partial 16S ribosomal RNA". It matches the Rfam family "Bacterial small subunit ribosomal RNA", at positions 523 to 918 of the family's 1533-position model. The record is from RNAcentral.
AUACGGAAGGUCCGGGCGUUAUCCGGAUUUAUUGGGUUUAAAGGGAGCGCAGGCGGAGAUGCAAGCGUGACGUCAAAUUUCGGGGCUCAACCCCGUCUCGCGUCGCGAACUGCGUCCCUUGGUUGCGGGAAGGGGAGGCGGAACUCGUGGUGUAGCGGUGAAAUGCAUAGAUAUCACGAAGAACUCCGAUCGCGAAGGCAGCCUUCCGGCCCGUCAACGACGCUCAUGCUCGAAGGUGCGGGUAUCAAACAGGAUUAGAUACCCUGGUAGGCCGCACAGUAAACGAUGGACACCCGCGGUUUGGCCUGUAUGGCUGAGCCGCCAAGCGAAAGCGUUAAGUGUCCCACCUGGGGAGUACGCCGGCAACGGUGAAACUCAAAUGAAUUGACGGGG